AAAUUUGGUACCAACUUCAGACUGCUGUAAUUUCUAAGCCACUCGUCUGACAGCUGUUAAAAUUAUUUCAGUAGCAGCUCAUUAUAUUGUUUACAAGCGUACAAAAGCAUUUUGGUGAGCAUUUUCCAAGAAAAAACGUAGCCCGACGUCAAGGAAGUGGACGGAAGAAAACAGCUACAUCAGCAAAAGUGGUUCGAAAAGUAAAGAAGCGACUUGAUUGAAACCCGCGUCGCAGUGGCUGAAAAAUGGCUCGUGAGCUGAACAUAUCGCAAUAUUCCAUUCGUACAUGAUUGA
Long non-coding RNA from Musca vetustissima, 294 nucleotides. RefSeq lists it as uncharacterized. The transcript has 2 exons. The record is from RefSeq and is a predicted model, not a curated record. NCBI's taxonomy places the organism in Eukaryota, Metazoa, Arthropoda, Insecta, Diptera, Muscidae.